UUGAGCUGGGCAGAUAGCUUCCUGGUCGUCUAAUGGGUUGAUUAACCCUGACAAAGACCGGGAGGAAGCUCCAUUCACCUGCCAAGGCAGCGCUGAAAGGUGCAGGCCGAGAGGCCUCUGCAGGACACAGAAAAAACCUGCGCAACGGAGCAAUGAUAUCAGCGAUGUGGCAACACAAAUCGUCGUUGAGCGUCGAGGUUGCGAAAGGGUGAAAGAAUCCGCGGUGCCGGGUGCAAGCCGGUUCAAGGUUUGAUUGGAACUAGUCCAACAGACCGGCUUCAGGCGCUUAGAAAAAUGCUAUCACCUCCGUUCGGGAUCAUACCCGAGGAGAUGACAUAAAAUGGGCUAUGCCCAGCACAA
RNAcentral lists this RNase P RNA (360 nucleotides) under Candidatus Aenigmatarchaeota archaeon. RNAcentral's name for it is "RNase P RNA component". It matches the Rfam family "Archaeal RNase P". Rfam says of the family: Ribonuclease P (RNase P) is a ubiquitous endoribonuclease, found in archaea, bacteria and eukarya as well as chloroplasts and mitochondria. The record is from RNAcentral. Lineage: Archaea; Nanobdellati; Candidatus Aenigmatarchaeota.